GGUCUCCGUUGGUGACCGCGGAGGAUCAUUAAAGAGUUGCAAAACUCCCUAAACCAUUGUGAACAUACCUUCAACGUUGCUUCGGCGGGUUGGCUCCGGGUCUCCCGGGGCCCCCGGCCCUACUCGGGCGCCCGCCGGAGGUAUCUAACUCUUGACAAUUGUAUGGCCUCUCUGAGUCUUUGUACUUAAUAAGUCAAAACUUUCAACAACGGAUCUCUUGGUUCUGGCAUCGAUGAAGAACGCAGCGAAAUGCGAUAAGUAAUGUGAAUUGCAGAAUUCAGUGAAUCAUCGAAUCUUUGAACGCACAUUGCGCCCGCCAGUAUUCUGGCGGGCAUGCCUGUUCGAGCGUCAUUUCAACCAUCAAGCCCCCGGCUUGUGUUGGGGACCUGCGGCUGCCGCAGGCCCUGAAAACCAGUGGCGGGCUCGCUAGUCACUCCGAGCGUAGUAAUACAUCUCGCUCAGGGCGUGCUGCGGGUUCCGGCCGUUAAAAAGCCUUAUUUACCCAAGGUUGACCUCGGAUCAGGUAGGAAGACCCGCUGAACUUAAGCAUAUCAAUAA
Molecule: ribosomal RNA, 558 nt
Filed under: Chaetomium sp.
Lineage: Eukaryota; Fungi; Ascomycota; Sordariomycetes; Sordariales; Chaetomiaceae
Description: eukaryotic LSU rRNA
Rfam family: 5.8S ribosomal RNA (bases 198-351)
Source: RNAcentral